CUGCGGAAGAUCAUUGUCGAAACCUGCCCAGCAGAAAGACCCGCGAACAGGUUACAACGUUUGGGGGGNNANGGGUGCAACGCCCCUUGGAACCACCCACCCCGAGUGCGUGUGGGUUUUCCCCGCGUCCUUGGWCANUAACCAACCCCGGCGCGGAAUGCGUCAAGGAAACAUAAAGAAACGAGCUUCUKCUGCGGCCCCAGGUUUGGUGCUUGCCGCGGCAGGCGCGUCGUGUUUCGUUUAGGUCUAAAAACGACUCUCGGCAACGGAUAUCUCGGCUCUCGCAUCGAUGAAGAACGUAGCGAAAUGCGAUACUUGGUGUGAAUUGCAGAAUCCCGUGAACCAUCGAGUCUUUGAACGCAAGUUGCGCCCGAAGCCAUCCGGCCGAGGGCACGCCUGCCUUGGCGUCACACACCGUUGCCCCCCCAAGUCCCUUUGACACCAUCCACAUGGUGCACGGGGACCGCGAGGGGCGGAUGAUGGCCUCCCGUGGGCCUCGACCCGCGGUUGGUCUAAAUUUGGGUCCUCGGUCACGGUAGCCGUGGCAACAGGUGGUCGUCGAUGAUUCGGUGCCCUGCCACGUGCUCUGGACAAAAGCAUCGAGAGACUCCUACAAGCUUGACCCCGACGCACCCCACUUCGGUGCUUCCAACGCGACCCCAGGUCAGGCG
This 671-nucleotide ribosomal RNA is filed under the name Artocarpus kemando. Its description in RNAcentral is "eukaryotic LSU rRNA". The stretch from base 255 to 410 matches the Rfam family "5.8S ribosomal RNA". The record is from RNAcentral. Lineage: Eukaryota; Viridiplantae; Streptophyta; Magnoliopsida; Rosales; Moraceae.